UAUAACACGGAUGAACUCAGAUCACAGUCAUUCGCUUAUUCCCUAACUUUUGCCUGGAUUGCCUUUUUUCGGGUUUUCAAUCCAUCGGGAUCCCCAUUUUUGCCUGAGCCGCCCUUUUGGUUUUUCGACUCACCGGGUGUACUCUUUUUUUAUAUCCCUAAUUUUUGCCCGAACCUCUUUAUUCUUUUUUUUUUUGGUUCGUCGGGAGGCCCUUUUUUUUCCUGGACUAUUCUUUUUAUCGUCCAGCGGGUCUAUUUUAUGCGAAGUAUUUUUUAACUGC
RNAcentral lists this long non-coding RNA (280 nucleotides) under Lathyrus oleraceus (garden pea). RNAcentral describes it as "Pisum sativum (pea) long non-coding RNA (PSAT_LNC037180)". Lineage: Eukaryota; Viridiplantae; Streptophyta; Magnoliopsida; Fabales; Fabaceae. The record is from RNAcentral.